CGCGCAGGCGGCCAGGUAAGUCGAAUGUGAAAGCCCCCGGCUCAACUGGGGAGGGUCAUUCGAUACUGCUUGGCUUGAAGGUAGGAGAGGGAAGCGGAAUUUCAGGUGUAGUGGUGAAAUGCGUAGAUAUCUGAAGGAACACCAGUGGCGAAGGCGGCUUUCUGGCCUAUUCUUGACGCUGAGGCGCGAAAGCUAGGGGGAGCGAACG
Molecule: ribosomal RNA, 208 nt
Filed under: uncultured bacterium
Lineage: Bacteria
Description: partial 16S ribosomal RNA
Rfam family: Bacterial small subunit ribosomal RNA
Source: RNAcentral